RNAcentral lists this ribosomal RNA (460 nucleotides) under uncultured bacterium. RNAcentral's name for it is "partial 16S ribosomal RNA". It matches the Rfam family "Bacterial small subunit ribosomal RNA", at positions 338 to 795 of the family's 1533-position model. The record is from RNAcentral.
CCUACGGGCGGCAGCAGUGAGGAAUAUUGGUCAAUGGCCGGAAGGCUGAACCAGCCAUGCCGCGUGAAGGUCAGUGCCCUAUGGGCGUUAAACUUCUUUUGUGCGGGAGCAAUAAUGGUCACGUGUGGCCAGACGAGAGUACCGUACGAAUAAGCAUCGGCUAACUCCGUGCCAGCAGCCGCGGUAAUACGGGGGAUGCAAGCGUUAUCCGGCUUUAUUGGGUUUAAAGGGUGCGUAGGCUGUGAGGUAAGUCAGCGGUGAAAUGCCCCCGCUCAACGGGGUGAAGUGCCAUUGAUACUGCCUGGCUGGAAUGCGGAUGCGGUGGGAGGAAUGUGUGGUGUAGCGGUGAAAUGCAUAGAUAUCACACAGAACACCGAUUGCGAAGGCAUCUCACGAAUCCGCGAUUGACGCUGAUGCACGAAAGCGUGGGUAUCAAACAGGAUUAGAUACCCUGGUAGUC